Molecule: non-coding RNA, 260 nt
Filed under: Nitrospirae bacterium RBG_16_43_11
Lineage: Bacteria; Pseudomonadati; Nitrospirota
Description: partial 23S ribosomal RNA
Rfam family: Bacterial large subunit ribosomal RNA
Source: RNAcentral
GAGCUGUUCCUAGUACGAGAGGACCGGAAUGGACGGACCUCUAAUGUGCCAGUUGUCACGCCAGUGGCAGCGCUGGGUAGUUAUGUCCGGAAGGGAUAACCGCUGAAGGCAUCUAAGCGGGAAACCCACCCCAAGAUUAGAUAUCCCUCUGCGCAAGCGGACUAAAGGCCCCUGGUAGACUACCAGGUUGAUAGGCUGGAUGUGUAAGCACAGUAAUGUGUUAAGCUUACCAGUACUAAUAGGCCGUGCGGCUUGACCAU